Leptopilina boulardi is the source of this 1980-nucleotide RNA transcript. It is a transcript of the gene named tafazzin, with no coding region annotated. NCBI's taxonomy places the organism in Eukaryota, Metazoa, Arthropoda, Insecta, Hymenoptera, Figitidae. The transcript is spliced from 6 exons. The record is from RefSeq and is a predicted model, not a curated record.
ACAAGUGGUCACGUGAGCAAUGUCAAACAUAACAAUGCGAACAUGGCCGUACCGUAUUACGAAAGAACAGACAGUUUUAGGGGAAGUUGCUCGGAAAAUAAAGCUAUUCGAGCAAAGAAAAACGAGGCUGCUAAAACCUCGUUCUUUUCCUUUUAGCAGUGGAUUCACCAUGGUCUACAACAUCACUUGGAUUAUUCCCAAGCUCCGUAAUCCAACGGGACUGUGGAACAUGGCUAGUACUAUAACCUUUGCUGCUGUAGGAAUUUUUUCUAAAAUCAUUAUAGAAUGGUUCAACAAAACAACUAUUUACAACAAACACAUUAUUCAGAGGGCAUUGGAUUCUCGACCAAAAAAUGUGCCUCUCAUUACAGUUUCAAAUCAUCACAGUUGUUUCGAUGAUCCGGGUAUAUGGGCAACUCUGGACCUGAGGUAUUUGCUGAAUCGCCGAAAAGUAAGGUGGUCCCUAGCAGCACAUGACAUUUGUUUCACAAAUGUAUGGCACUCUUACUUCUUUAUGCUUGGGAAAUGCAUACCAGUCAUCAGGGGAAAUGGAAUUUUCCAGGAUGCUGUAGAUUUCUGCAUCGAGAAACUAUCUUCCGGCGAGUGGGUUCACGUCUUCCCUGAAGGCAAAGUCAAUAUGCUCAAGGAGAAUUUAAGGUACAAAUGGGGCAUUGCAAGGCUCAUUCUUGAAUCGCCAGUGAUUCCUCUCGUCGUUCCGAUUUAUCAUCUAGGCAUGGAUGAUAUUCUUCCGAACGAGCCACCCUAUAUUCUUAAAACGGGCAAAAGAGUCACUAUGUAUUAUGGAGAACCAAUAGAUUUUAGCGAUAUGAUAGCUGAGCUCCGAGCAACCAAAGUCACUGAAUCCGAAGCCAGAAUAAUCAUCACCAAUCGUGUUCAAGAAGAACUCAAUAAAGCUUUCUUACAAAACCAUUAAAUGUGACAGCUUCUGGGAAAACAGUGCUUACGACUAAAAUUAACUUUUCGAGAAAAACGUAUUUAAAAUAUACUAUUCUAUAGUGGUGUACGUAUUAAUCCUACGAUUUGAAAAUUAAAUAAAUAAAGUAAGGAGAAAGAAAUAAGGUAUAGUACUUUCCUGAGUGUAGCAAAGAGACAAAAGGUACAUGAUUUUCUUCAAACUACUUAUAUUAAAAUUAUAUUCAACACUCCAAUAUUAUAUUUAGUAAAAUAUUUAAAAGAAGAAUUGAUUAAUAACAAAUUAAAUAAUAUUUAUAAUUUUGUGUGUUUAUGUUAGCCGCUACAGUGGUAAUACAAUGGCUUAAAACUUGUUAUUCGAGAGUUUUUAGGUUCGCUGACUACUAAUUUGAUAUCAGAUUUUUUAAAUUCAAAAUGGCAAAUCUAAUAUGGCGGAAAAAUUUGUUUCCAAAUUGAUUGGAUAUGAUUGAAACUCAUUAUUUAGGGGUUUUUAGAAUUGCUAAUUACGAUUCCAAUGUCAGUUUUUCAAAAUUCAAAAUGACGGACCUGAACGUCGAAUAUUUUUAUGAUAUUUUAGAUGGAUAGAUUACACACAGUCGCAGAGAAACUUCAUACUAAGGCUUGAUGCAAGAUAUUGGUUACUGACGUAGAAUAUUAGCGCGAAUAUGCACUUUGCAAGUAUUGGAGAGUAACAAAAUGAAGAGAAUAUAUCCUUUAAAAGGACAAGUUGUUAGUUAAAGUGACUUUUAUUGUAUUUUUAUACUAAAUGCGCCAUUCCAGAAUUUCUGCCAAAGUCUUUGAGUCAGUACGUAGAGCGAAACGUGUUAGCUUUUCAAGUCUACGUACCUUGCCACUACUAUACAAACCAUUAAAUUCGUCAAUGGCGCAGUUGUACAUAUAUGAAUGUGAAUAUAAUGAAUUUUUAAAUCGGAUUGUCCGAUGUUGUCAAGUGGCCAUGGCACAAAAGUCAACGAGAGAAUAUGAUAAUAGGACGAAUAAAAUUUCGAAUUAUCGACACGUUUCAGUGAAAUAUUGGUUAACAUUUAU